This 784-nucleotide ribosomal RNA is filed under the name Salmonella enterica subsp. enterica serovar Stanleyville. RNAcentral's name for it is "partial 23S ribosomal RNA". It matches the Rfam family "Bacterial large subunit ribosomal RNA", at positions 508 to 1191 of the family's 2925-position model. The record is from RNAcentral. Lineage: Bacteria; Pseudomonadati; Pseudomonadota; Gammaproteobacteria; Enterobacterales; Enterobacteriaceae.
GGAAAGGCGAAAAGAACCCCGGCGAGGGGAGUGAAAAAGAACCUGAAACCGUGUACGUACAAGCAGUGGGAGCCCCACCACCAAAGCAUUCUCUGGUGUUGAAGGCCCUGCAAAGCAGCAUCGCGGUGGCGGAGCGUCGUUUGCGACGCCCAACACACAAAACAAGCGGUGAGUGCUUUGGGGUGGGGUGACUGCGUACCUUUUGUAUAAUGGGUCAGCGACUUAUAUUCUGUAGCAAGGUUAACCGAAUAGGGGAGCCGGAGGGAAACCGAGUCUUAACCGGGCGUUAAGUUGCAGGGUAUAGACCCGAAACCCGGUGAUCUAGCCAUGGGCAGGUUGAAGGUUGGGUAACACUAACUGGAGGACCGAACCGACUAAUGUUGAAAAAUUAGCGGAUGACCUGUGGCUGGGGGUGAAAGGCCAAUCAAACCGGGAGAUAGCUGGUUCUCCCCGAAAGCUAUUUAGGUAGCGCCUCGUGAAUUCAUCUCCGGGGGUAGAGCACUGUUUCGGCUAGGGGGCCAUCCCGGCUUACCAACCCGAUGCAAACUGCGAAUACCGGAGAAUGUUAUCACGGGAGACACACGGCGGGUGCUAACGUCCGUCGUGAAGAGGGAAACAACCCAGACCGCCAGCUAAGGUCCCAAAGUCAUGGUUAAGUGGGAAACGAUGUGGGAAGGCCCAGACAGCCAGGAUGUUGGCUUAGAAGCAGCCAUCAUUUAAAGAAAGCGUAAUAGCUCACUGGUCGAGUCGGCCUGCGCGGAAGAUGUAACGGGGCUAAACCAUG